GGGGUUGUGGCUCAGAGGUAGAGCACUCACCUAGCAUGUGUGAGGCACUGGGUUCAAUCCUCAGCACCA
This 69-nucleotide transfer RNA is filed under the name Marmota marmota marmota (Alpine marmot). It matches the Rfam family "tRNA". Rfam says of the family: Transfer RNA (tRNA) molecules are approximately 80 nucleotides in length. Their secondary structure includes four short double-helical elements and three loops (D, anti-codon, and T loops). Further hydrogen bonds mediate the characteristic L-shaped molecular structure. tRNAs have two regions of fundamental functional importance: the anti-codon, which is responsible for specific mRNA codon recognition, and the 3' end, to which the tRNAs corresponding amino acid is attached (by aminoacyl-tRNA synthetases). tRNAs cope with the degeneracy of the genetic code in two manners: having more than one tRNA (with a specific anti-codon) for a particular amino acid; and 'wobble' base-pairing, i.e. permitting non-standard base-pairing at the 3rd anti-codon position. The record is from Rfam by way of RNAcentral. Lineage: Eukaryota; Metazoa; Chordata; Mammalia; Rodentia; Sciuridae. RNAcentral also lists the same sequence under 3 other names.